UUAUCGUUCUCGGUGAAGGAAUCGGAGCAGCUAUAUAAUCAGCAUCUUACUCUUUAACGGCAAGCUCAGCAACGAUAAGUUUUCCUCUGCUGGAAAGCAGUCCUUCACGGAUAUGGGAGCUUACUCCGCAGUUGCUGGUUUAGUAAGCAUUUCCUUCCCUUAUGAUUUUGAAAAAGGAAUGGAUAGAGAGGAAGGCUCCAGGGUUUCUUUCUCUUGGUGUCAACAUAGGAAUGGGAGCUGUUUGAAUGGAUGCCUUUUUCCCUUGUUGAAUCAGCCAAGUCAGUAGCCUUUCUUUUAUGCGGGAUUGCCUGUUGAUGCAAGGAAUAAGGGCUGGCUUGAUGCCAAAAAGAAGCUAAGCUGGUGGAGGAAUAACGGCUGCUAAAUCAUCUGCAGCACAGUAGUACGUAUUAGGCAAAUGGGAUUUAUCUUUCCUAGGCUCAGGAGCGUAGUGUAGUAAGGGGUCUUUGGUGCGUGAAUGCUUUACUUAGAGCUUGAACUAGGGGCAGCAACCAUUUCAACUGGAUACCAUAAAGAGGGCAAGAGAGGAGGAGCCGAUGAAAUUAUUUCGGAGUUCUUCCCCGCUGACGUCUAAGCUCUCAAGGACUCGGAUUAGUCAACAGGAAUGAUAUAUAAGAAAGCUGGUAGCUCGAGCGAGGAGCGGAGCCUAGCCCUAUAGCUAUAUAUAGGCUAUAUAAUAUUAUAUUUCCCCUGCUUUGAAUAGUGAGAAUCAAACUCAUUGCUCAUUCAUUCAGAGGGUAAAGUAGAUCGAGAGAGAGAAUUGGCUUCUCGAGAAUCUGCUGGAGUCAGAUCAGUAGGGGAGUUCACACCGGGACUUUUUAUAUAGAGAAAGAACCGAACCGGGUAAAGGCGAUAACGACCCAGGAAAUGGUGAAGUACGUGAAUCGACUCCCUCUUCGAGUAAUUUAACAUAAAAGAAAUAAGAAGGGACUGACUUCUUUCUUGACAAGGAUCCUGAAC
This 978-nucleotide long non-coding RNA is filed under the name Trifolium pratense (red clover). RNAcentral describes it as "long non-coding RNA (TPRA_LNC007925)". The record is from RNAcentral. Lineage: Eukaryota; Viridiplantae; Streptophyta; Magnoliopsida; Fabales; Fabaceae.